GCUGCUAUGGCUCAGGUGGUAGAGCGCGCCCUUGGUAAGGGUGAGGUCCCCAGCUCGACUCUGGGUAUCAGCACCA
Molecule: transfer RNA, 76 nt
Filed under: Klebsiella pneumoniae
Lineage: Bacteria; Pseudomonadati; Pseudomonadota; Gammaproteobacteria; Enterobacterales; Enterobacteriaceae
Description: tRNA-Thr
Rfam family: tRNA
About the family: Transfer RNA (tRNA) molecules are approximately 80 nucleotides in length. Their secondary structure includes four short double-helical elements and three loops (D, anti-codon, and T loops).
Source: RNAcentral